RNAcentral lists this transfer RNA (85 nucleotides) under Cephalotrichum gorgonifer. RNAcentral's name for it is "transfer RNA-Gln(CTG)". It matches the Rfam family "tRNA". Rfam says of the family: Transfer RNA (tRNA) molecules are approximately 80 nucleotides in length. Their secondary structure includes four short double-helical elements and three loops (D, anti-codon, and T loops). Lineage: Eukaryota; Fungi; Ascomycota; Sordariomycetes; Microascales; Microascaceae. The record is from RNAcentral.
GGUCCAAUAGUCUAGGUGGUUAGGACGUGGGAUUCUGAUAAUACAGGAUCUUCCCGAAACCUCGGUUCGAAUCCGGGUUGGACCU